RNAcentral lists this transfer RNA (59 nucleotides) under Acinetobacter baumannii. RNAcentral's name for it is "tRNA-Pro". It matches the Rfam family "tRNA", at positions 8 to 63 of the family's 71-position model. From Rfam's summary of the family: Transfer RNA (tRNA) molecules are approximately 80 nucleotides in length. Their secondary structure includes four short double-helical elements and three loops (D, anti-codon, and T loops). Lineage: Bacteria; Pseudomonadati; Pseudomonadota; Gammaproteobacteria; Moraxellales; Moraxellaceae. The record is from RNAcentral.
UAGCACAGCCUGGUAGUGCACCUGGUUUGGGACCAGGGGGUCGUAGGUUCGAAUCCUAC